GGGUCAGAGGAAGAUCCUGGGGCGCCUCCACCAUGGCCUGGAUGCCUCUCCUGCUCCCCCUUCUCGCUCUCUGCACAGGUUCUGUGGUUUCCCUUGAGUUGACACAGACGCCCUCAGUGUCUGUGGCCCUGGGACAGACGGCCACAAUCACGUGCCAGGCAGAUGAGGAAGUAUAUGCUAUGUUCUGGUACCAGCAGAAGCCCGGCCAGGCCCCUGUGCUGGUCAUCUAUAGCGACAGCAGCAGGCCCUCAGGGAUCCCUGACCGAUUCUCAGGCUCCAGCUCGGGGAACACGGCCACGCUGACCAUCAGCGGGGCCCAGGCCCAGGACGAGGCGGACUAUUACUGUCAGGUGUGGGAUGCGACUGAUGAUGCUCACAGUGACACAGGCAGACGGGGAAUCUGA
Molecule: non-coding RNA, 404 nt
Organism: Pteronotus mesoamericanus
Lineage: Eukaryota; Metazoa; Chordata; Mammalia; Chiroptera; Mormoopidae
Source: the annotation of a RefSeq genome assembly